Molecule: ribosomal RNA, 700 nt
Filed under: uncultured bacterium
Lineage: Bacteria
Description: bacterial SSU rRNA
Rfam family: Bacterial small subunit ribosomal RNA
Source: RNAcentral
AGAGUUUGAUCAUGGCUCAGAGUGAACGCUGGCGGCAGGCCUAAUACAUGCAAGUCGAACGGCAGCACAGCAGAGCUUGCUCUGUGGGUGGCGAGUGGCGGACGGGUGAGGAAUACAUGGGAAUCUGCCCAGUCGUGGGGGAUAACGUAGGGAAACUUACGCUAAUACCGCAUGCGCCCUUCGGGGGAAAGCCGGGGACCUUCGGGCCUGGCGCGAUUGGAUGAGCCCAUGUCGGAUUAGCUAGUUGGCGGGGUAACGGCCCACCAAGGCGACGAUCCGUAGCUGGUCUGAGAGGAUGAUCAGCCACACUGGAACUGAGACACGGUCCAGACUCCUACGGGAGGCAGCAGUAGGGAAUAUUGGACAAUGGGCGCAAGCCUGAUCCAGCCAUGCCGCGUGAGUGAAGAAGGCCUUCGGGUUGUAAAGCUCUUUUGUCCGGAAAGAAAAGCUUCGGGUUAAUACCCUGGAGUCCUGACGGUACCGGAAGAAUAAGCACCGGCUAACUUCGUGCCAGCAGCCGCGGUAAUACGAAGGGUGCAAGCGUUACUCGGAAUUACUGGGCGUAAAGCGUGCGUAGGUGGUUUGUUAAGUCUGAUGUGAAAGCCCUGGGCUCAACCUGGGAAUGGCAUUGGAUACUGGCAGGCUAGAGUGCGGUAGAGGGUAGUGGAAUUCCCGGUGUAGCAGUGAAAUGCGUAGAGAU